Molecule: non-coding RNA, 107 nt
Organism: Gossypium raimondii (Peruvian cotton)
Lineage: Eukaryota; Viridiplantae; Streptophyta; Magnoliopsida; Malvales; Malvaceae
Source: Rfam
AACCCAUGGUGAUGGCACAUUUUUAAUAAGUCCUUAUACAUCUCUCAUGCAUCAUAUAAGGUUUUUAAGUCGGUCUAAAUGAAGGAAGAGAUAUCAUUCCUCAACUU